This 253-nucleotide ribosomal RNA is filed under the name uncultured bacterium. Its description in RNAcentral is "partial 16S ribosomal RNA". It matches the Rfam family "Bacterial small subunit ribosomal RNA", at positions 524 to 776 of the family's 1533-position model. The record is from RNAcentral.
UACGUAGGGUGCAAGCGUUGUCCGGAAUUAUUGGGCGUAAAGAGCUCGUAGGCGGUUUGUUGCGUCGGCUGUGAAAUCCCGAGGCUCAACCUCGGGUCUGCAGUCGAUACGAGCAAACUAGAGUGUUGCAGGGGAGACUGGAAUUCCUGGUGUAGCGGUGAAAUGCGCAGAUAUCGAUCGGAACACCCAUGGCGAAGGCAGCUCGCUGGCCUAAAACUGACGCUGAGGCGCGAAAGCGUGGGGAGCAAACAGG